CUUCAACCUAAAUCCACGCCGGUGCUAUGUUCCUCCAACCUGCUGUUUGACAAAUAUCGACAGGAGAUGCAAAAGGCGGGGUACUAUACUCCAGGCAUGGCUGGGACUGGGGCGAAACCUCCAAGCAGCACCAUCCCUCAAAGGCUGAGUGGAAAGUCGGGCAGUUUUCAUGAGGAUAUGCCUGAGAAAUAUCUCCAAGAGCCUGUUUCCCAAGAAGGAGGCAGUGUCUACCGCUCACCCAGAGCUCUGAGGCCUCAGCUGGGGUUAGGGGCGGUCUCCAGGCAGCCUGCAGCCAAGACAAGAGUUCAACAGACAGGCCAAAGGUCAGCGCCGCCCCCAGGCCAGUGUGCUCAGGCAGCCACACCGGCUGCCCGAGGCUACCAGGACCCUGCAGGAGAGCAAAAGAGGUCAGGAGAAAGAGGUCCAGAAGCCACCCCUAAGAGCGUCCUGGUGAAACCAGGCCAGUCUGGUCUUCGUCCUCCAGGCUUCACCGCCCUGCCAGCUGCC
RNAcentral lists this long non-coding RNA (507 nucleotides) under Sander lucioperca (pikeperch). Its description in RNAcentral is "lncRNA (ENSSLUG00000020596.1)". Lineage: Eukaryota; Metazoa; Chordata; Actinopteri; Perciformes; Percidae. The record is from RNAcentral.